GAAAUGCGAUACUUGGUGUGAAUUGCAGAAUCCCGUGAACCAUCGAGUCUUUGAACGCAAGUUGCGCCCGAAGCCAUUAGGCCGAGGGCACGCCUGCGUUCUUCAUCGAUGCUCCAGUAUCGGAA
This 125-nucleotide unclassified non-coding RNA is filed under the name uncultured fungus. RNAcentral's name for it is "sequence contains ITS1". The stretch from base 1 to 96 matches the Rfam family "5.8S ribosomal RNA", at positions 50 to 143 of the family's 154-position model. From Rfam's summary of the family: 5.8S ribosomal RNA (5.8S rRNA) is a component of the large subunit of the eukaryotic ribosome. It is transcribed by RNA polymerase I as part of the 45S precursor that also contains 18S and 28S rRNA. Functionally, it is thought that 5.8S rRNA may be involved in ribosome translocation. The record is from RNAcentral. Lineage: Eukaryota; Fungi.